Molecule: ribosomal RNA, 408 nt
Filed under: uncultured bacterium
Lineage: Bacteria
Description: partial 16S ribosomal RNA
Rfam family: Bacterial small subunit ribosomal RNA
Source: RNAcentral
GACGAACGCUGGCGGCGUGCUUAACACAUGCAAGUCGAACGAAGUGGCGAACGGGUGAGUAACGCGUAAUCAACCUGCCCUUCAGAGGGGGACAACAGUUGGAAACGACUGCUAAUACCGCAUACUGAAGGAGGGGAUUGCGUCUGAUUAGCUAGUUGGAGGGGUAACGGCCCACCAAGGCGAUGAUCAGUAGGCGGGCUGAGAGGAGGAACGGCAAAAUUGGGAAUGGGACACGGCCAAGACUCCUACGGGAGGCAGCAGGGGGGAAUCGUCCGCAAUGGAGGAAAGUCUGAAGGAGCAACGCCGCGGGAGUGAGGACGGCCUUCGGGUUGUAAAGCUCUGUUAAGCGGGACGCGGUACCGGAAUAGAAAGCCACGGCUAACUACGUGCCAGCCGCCGCGGUAAUUC